GGGCAUAUGGUGUAGUUGGUUUAUCACGCCCGCUUUGCACUCGUAUUUGGUUGCUUGCGGGAGGUGUUGGGUUCAAUUCCCAAUGUGUCCA
This is a non-coding RNA of Pleurotus pulmonarius, 91 nucleotides long. NCBI's taxonomy places the organism in Eukaryota, Fungi, Basidiomycota, Agaricomycetes, Agaricales, Pleurotaceae. The record is from the annotation of a GenBank genome assembly.